UACGUAGGCAGCGAGCGUUGUUCGGAAUUACUGGGCGUAAAGAGUGUGUAGGCGGUGCUCUAAGUUCGGUGUGAAAUCUCCUGGUUUAACUGGGAGGGUGCGCCGGAAACUGGGGUGCUCGAGCGUGGGAGAGGAAAGCGGAAUUCCUGGUGUAGCGGUGAAAUGCGUAGAUAUCAGGAGGAACACCUGUGGUGUAGACAGCUUACUGGACCACUUCUGACGCUGAGACACGAAAGCGUGGGUAGCAAACAGG
RNAcentral lists this ribosomal RNA (253 nucleotides) under uncultured bacterium. RNAcentral's name for it is "partial 16S ribosomal RNA". It matches the Rfam family "Bacterial small subunit ribosomal RNA", at positions 524 to 776 of the family's 1533-position model. The record is from RNAcentral.